GUGAGCAACCUGCCCCUGACUCUGGGAUAAGCGGUGGAAACGCCGUCUAAUACCGGAUACGACCUUCCACCUCAUGGUGGAGGGUGGAAAGUUUUUUCGGUCAGGGAUGGGCUCGCGGCCUAUCAGCUUGUUGGUGGGGUAACGGCCUACCAAGGCGAUUACGGGUAGCCGGCCUGAGAGGGCGACCGGCCACACUGGGACUGAGACACGGCCCAGACUCCUGCGGGAGGCAGCAGUGGGGAAUAUUGCGCAAUGGGCGAAAGCCUGACGCAGCGACGCCGCGUGGGGGAUGACGGCCUUCGGGUUGUAAACCUCUUUUACCACCAACGCAGGCUCCGGGUUCUCUCGGGGUUGACGGUAUGUGGGGAAUAAGGACCGGCUAACUACGUGCCAGCAGCCGCGGUAAUACGUAGGGUCCGAGCGUUGUCCGGAAUUAUUGGGCGUAAAGAGCUCGUAGGCGGCGUGUCGCGUCUGCUGUGAAAGACCGGGGCUUAACUCCGGUUCUGCAGUGGAUACGGGCAUGCUAGAGGUAGGUAGGGGAGACUGGAAUUCCUGGUGUAGCGGUGAAAUGCGCAGAUAUCAGGAGGAACACCGGUGGCGAAGGCGGGUCUCUGGGCCUUACCUGACGCUGAGGAGCGAAAGCAUGGGGAGCGAACAGGAUUAGAUACCCUGGUAGUCCAUGCCGUAAACGUUGGGCGCUAGGUGUGGGGACUUUCCACGGUUUCCGCGCCGUAGCUAACGCAUUAAGCGCCCCGCCUGGGGAGUACGGCCGCAAGGCUAAAACUCAAAGGAAUUGACGGGGGCCCGCACAAGCGGCGGAGCAUGUUGCUUAAUUCGACGCAACGCGAAGAACCUUACCAAGGUUUGACAUCACCCGUGGACCUGUAGAGAUACAGGGUCAUUUAGUUGGUGGGUGACAGGUGGUGCAUGGCUGUCGUCAGCUCGUGUCGUGAGAUGUUGGGUUAAGUCCCGCAACGAGCGCAACCCUUGUUCCAUGUUGCCAGCACGUAAUGGUGGGGACUCAUGGGAGACUGCCGGGGUCAACUCGGAGGAAGGUGGGGACGACGUCAAGUCAUCAUGCCCCUUAUGUCUUGGGCUGCAAACAUGCUACAAUGGCCGGUACAAUUG
RNAcentral lists this ribosomal RNA (1128 nucleotides) under Nocardiopsis alba. RNAcentral describes it as "bacterial SSU rRNA". It matches the Rfam family "Bacterial small subunit ribosomal RNA", at positions 117 to 1245 of the family's 1533-position model. The record is from RNAcentral. Lineage: Bacteria; Bacillati; Actinomycetota; Actinomycetes; Streptosporangiales; Nocardiopsidaceae.